This 58-nucleotide transfer RNA is filed under the name Tropiocolotes steudneri. RNAcentral's name for it is "tRNA-Ala". The record is from RNAcentral. Lineage: Eukaryota; Metazoa; Chordata; Lepidosauria; Squamata; Gekkonidae.
GGAGGCUUAGCUUAAUUAAGUGUCUGAGUUGCAUUCAGGAGAUGUGGUUUGUAGUCUU